GUAUGCUGCCACGGGGACUGAAGAUGGCGCCGCGAGGUGAGAUUCCGGAGGUAAACGGUUGUCCUCCACCCCGCUGGAAAUCCUGUUCUUUCUGAACGGGUGGUAUAAUGCUACCUAUUUCCUGCUGGAACUUUUCAUAUUUCUGUAUAAAGGUGUCCUGCUACCAUAUCCAACAGCUAACCUAGUACUGGAUGUGGUGAUGCUCCUCCUUUAUCUUGGAAUUGAAGUAAUUCGCCUGUUUUUUGGAAAAGCAGACCAUUUGGAGAUGACUCCAUGGGCUGUGUCUGACAGGUACAAAGGGAAACCUCUGCCAGCGAAAGAUGCCACUCAGUAUUAGCGUGGCCUUGACCUUCCCAUCUGCCAUGAUGGCCUCCUAUUACCUGCUGCUGCAGACCUACGUACUCCGCCUGGAAGCCAUCAUGAACGGCAUCUCGCUCUUCUUCUGUGCCUCAGAGCUUUUACUUGAGGUGCUCACCUUGGCCGCUUUCUCCAG
Molecule: small RNA, 493 nt
Filed under: Pongo abelii (Sumatran orangutan)
Lineage: Eukaryota; Metazoa; Chordata; Mammalia; Primates; Hominidae
Description: retained intron
Source: RNAcentral